This is a long non-coding RNA of Poeciliopsis prolifica (blackstripe livebearer), 683 nucleotides long. RefSeq lists it as uncharacterized. The transcript is spliced from 3 exons. The record is from RefSeq and is a predicted model, not a curated record. NCBI's taxonomy places the organism in Eukaryota, Metazoa, Chordata, Actinopteri, Cyprinodontiformes, Poeciliidae.
UGCAGCAUAUGAUGAUGAGUUUUAUGGAGUAAAUGAACCUGUUACUGCCCAACCUGAACCCUUAAAGUUUCAGACUGAGGGACUUCAAAACUCUGAAACAUUUCUUCGUCGCUCUCAAAGAGUACACACAAAGCCAAACAGAUUAGAGUAUCCAAAACUGGGAAAUCCUCUGAUGAUGGUGGUGAAUUCUCUUUUCCAGGGUCUAAGUGAAGCAUUGGCUAGCUCCCUGAAUGGCUUGGAGAAUGCAUCCCAUAAUUCCAUCAGGCAUGCUUAAGCUGUGCGACUCAGUGUCGUAUUGCAGAUGCCCAGGGACGGGCAUACCCUUCAGAGGGGAGGGUGUAACCCACAUAAAGUGGGGAUAGCCUUUUGGGAAAUAGAGAUUGGGUAGGCGGGGUAGUCUGCCUGGCCAAUGGGAAGUUUGAUUCCCAUGAAUGUUUAGACCAAUCAGAGAGCGGAAUGCCACAGAGGCUCCACCUUCUUUCCCGUGCUGGCAGCGUUGAUUGUGAGCGGGAGAUCCGACCCUGAUCAGACAGCUGAGCCAGAAACCACUAAGAUCAGUUGGAACUGUUGCACUUUCUGGCAGUUGAUUGGCAGUUGUUUUCAGUUCAACUGAAGUGCCCUCCGUGUCUGGAAUGAGAGUCCCUGUCUAGUUGUUUUGAACGUGCUGCACUGAGAUCGGUGAG